RNAcentral lists this ribosomal RNA (253 nucleotides) under uncultured bacterium. Its description in RNAcentral is "partial 16S ribosomal RNA". It matches the Rfam family "Bacterial small subunit ribosomal RNA", at positions 524 to 776 of the family's 1533-position model. The record is from RNAcentral.
UACGGAGGGUGCAAGCGUUGUUCGGAAUCAUUGGGCGUAAAGCGCGUGUAGGCGGCUUGGCAAGUCAGUUGUGAAAGCCCGGGGCCCAACCCCGGAACUGCAUCUGAAACUGCCUAGCUAGAGUCCCGGAGAGGAAGGCAGAAUUCCCGGUGUAGGGGUGAAAUCCGUAGAUAUCGGGAGGAACACCAGUGGCGAAGGCGGCUGCCUGGGCCAGUUCUGACGCUGAGGCGCGAAAGCGUGGGGAGCAAACAGG